RNAcentral lists this ribosomal RNA (253 nucleotides) under uncultured bacterium. Its description in RNAcentral is "partial 16S ribosomal RNA". It matches the Rfam family "Bacterial small subunit ribosomal RNA", at positions 524 to 776 of the family's 1533-position model. The record is from RNAcentral.
UACGUAGGGGGCUAGCGUUGUCCGGAAUCAUUGGGCGUAAAGAGCGCGUAGGCGGCCAGAUAAGUCCGGUGUGAAAGUCCAGGGCUCAACCCUGGGAUGCCGGUCGAUACUGCCGGACUAGAGUUCGGAAGAGGCGAGUGGAAUCCCCGGUGUAGCGGUGAAAUGCGCAGAUAUCGGGAGGAACACCAAUGGCGAAGGCAGCUCGCUGGGACGUUACUGACGCUGAGACGCGAAAGCGUGGGGAGCAAACAGG